Molecule: long non-coding RNA, 608 nt
Organism: Syngnathus acus (greater pipefish)
Lineage: Eukaryota; Metazoa; Chordata; Actinopteri; Syngnathiformes; Syngnathidae
Exons: 2
Source: RefSeq, a predicted model, not a curated record
UCCUAAGAGGAUCAGAGCAGAAAGACACCAAAGCAAUAGUAGGAGGUUACUGAAAAAUGCAUCUCAUACAUAGGGAUGCAUCACUGCGUGGGUAUCUUAGCUAAAAAAAAAAAAAAAAAGUGACACAAGAAAAUGGCACAUGAUUGUAAGAGAUUGAAAUAAGAAGUAAAAAAAAAAUCCAUAACCAAAAUUGUUUGCACCCAGACCAUAAAAUGUUCAAAAUAAAGUUCAUUAAAUCAACUCUAGUGUAUUGUAAAUAAAAUAGAUUUGGUGAAACUAUACAAUUGAAAGUGAAAUAAAGUAUAGUAUGUACCACUUCAUCAAUGUAUGGCCCCUUCGUCUUGGAUCCAGUCCAUAAAAGCUUUAGUUGGACAAACAGCUGGAGGCUGCUGGUUUGUCUUUGCUGCUGAAGCCCCUCCAACUCCAAGAUAGUAACUACGAGCUGGUUCUGCUGUGCGUCAUAAUACACAGAAUAGUGGAGCCAUCCUUGAAUCUUCUGUAGGCGGUAGAUAGUGAGACAGUGUUAAAGAAAUUCAAUGCUGAUUUUAAAUAAAUGCAGUGAUCAACCAAGUGUCUGAAAAUGCUGUGAAAUGUGUAAAAAAAGAUUC